Molecule: long non-coding RNA, 290 nt
Filed under: Panax ginseng (ginseng)
Lineage: Eukaryota; Viridiplantae; Streptophyta; Magnoliopsida; Apiales; Araliaceae
Description: long non-coding RNA (PGIN_LNC016545)
Source: RNAcentral
AGUCGAGCCUUAAGGCAGCGCCGCAGCGCCAUUACCAAGUCAAAAAUGAGGCGCCGGUUCCGGUUCCGAUUUCGGUUCCCAGGUAAAAAGUAAAGGAAAAUGGCCUGACAUAAUAAAAAUUAUCCCUUAUAUAACUUAACCUCCAUCCUAACAUUAGAGACCACUUUUUGGAAGCCAAUAGCAAAGCUUUGAAUACUAAGGAAGGAGAAUAUCUGUGACACCCCCAAAUCCGGGUUACCUGAUCCCCGAGUUUGGUGCUCACGAUCCAUAAUAUAAUUAACAUCUAACUC